GGAUGUGAGGGUGAUCUGGCUGCGAUAUCUAUCACCCCAUUGAUCGACAGGGUUGAUUCAGCUGAUCUGGCUGUCUAGGCAGGUGUCCCCUUCCUCCCUCACUGCUCCAUGUGUGUCCCUCCCGAAGCUGCGCACUCAGUCAGAGUGGACAGCCUUUCCUGAAUAGAGACAAACCGGUCUUCAGUCGAGUGUAUACGAGUAGCUGUGCUCCCCUGCUAGAACCUCCAAACAAGCUCUCAAGGUCCAGUAGUGGGGAUGGGUUUAAAUAUGAUAUUUAUAGUCUUGAUUUUCACUUUCCAG
This 300-nucleotide small nuclear RNA is filed under the name Erinaceus europaeus (western European hedgehog). RNAcentral's name for it is "7SK RNA". It matches the Rfam family "7SK RNA". From Rfam's summary of the family: 7SK was discovered as an abundant small nuclear RNA in the mid-70s but a possible function has only recently been suggested. The record is from Rfam by way of RNAcentral. Lineage: Eukaryota; Metazoa; Chordata; Mammalia; Eulipotyphla; Erinaceidae.